UUGUUUAUGAUGAUACUUUUCUCAGCUCACUCAGAUUAACAAGUGAUCGAUAAUAUUUCCUUUAUCCAACUUCAUCAAAGUUUACUGAUACAA
Molecule: small nucleolar RNA, 93 nt
Filed under: Tetrapisispora phaffii CBS 4417
Lineage: Eukaryota; Fungi; Ascomycota; Saccharomycetes; Saccharomycetales; Saccharomycetaceae
Source: RNAcentral